GAUGUUGCGGCUCAACGGUAGAGCGCUCACCUAGCAUGUGAGAGGCACUGGGUUCGAUCCUCAGCACCACA
RNAcentral lists this transfer RNA (71 nucleotides) under Ictidomys tridecemlineatus (thirteen-lined ground squirrel). RNAcentral's name for it is "Spermophilus tridecemlineatus (thirteen-lined ground squirrel) tRNA". It matches the Rfam family "tRNA". Rfam says of the family: Transfer RNA (tRNA) molecules are approximately 80 nucleotides in length. Their secondary structure includes four short double-helical elements and three loops (D, anti-codon, and T loops). Further hydrogen bonds mediate the characteristic L-shaped molecular structure. tRNAs have two regions of fundamental functional importance: the anti-codon, which is responsible for specific mRNA codon recognition, and the 3' end, to which the tRNAs corresponding amino acid is attached (by aminoacyl-tRNA synthetases). tRNAs cope with the degeneracy of the genetic code in two manners: having more than one tRNA (with a specific anti-codon) for a particular amino acid; and 'wobble' base-pairing, i.e. permitting non-standard base-pairing at the 3rd anti-codon position. The record is from Rfam by way of RNAcentral. Lineage: Eukaryota; Metazoa; Chordata; Mammalia; Rodentia; Sciuridae.